RNAcentral lists this ribosomal RNA (425 nucleotides) under uncultured bacterium. Its description in RNAcentral is "bacterial SSU rRNA". It matches the Rfam family "Bacterial small subunit ribosomal RNA", at positions 356 to 773 of the family's 1533-position model. The record is from RNAcentral.
GGGGAAUAUUGGACAAUGGGCGGGAGCCUGAUCCAGCAAUGCCGCGUGUGUGAAGAGGGCCUGAGGGUUGUAAAGCACUUUUGGUGGGGAGGAAGGGUUUAUUUUUAAUAGAGAUAAGCUUUGACGUUACCUGCAGAAAAAGCACCGGCUAACUCUGUGCCAGCAGCCGCGGUAAUACAGAGGGUGCAAGCGUUAAUCGGAGUGACUGGGCGUAAAGGGCGCGUAGGUGGAUGGAUAAGUGAUGUGUGAAAUAUCUGGGCUUAACCUGGAGGGGUCAUGUCAAACUGUCUGUCUAGAGUAGAGCAGAGGGGAGUAGAAUUUCCGGUGUAGCGGUGAAAUGCGUAGAGAUCGGAAGGAAUACCAGUGGCGAAGGCGUCUUCCUGGGCUCAUACUGACACUGAGGCGCGAAAGCGUGGGGAGCGAAC